RNAcentral lists this ribosomal RNA (1155 nucleotides) under Triticum aestivum (bread wheat). Its description in RNAcentral is "partial small subunit ribosomal RNA". Lineage: Eukaryota; Viridiplantae; Streptophyta; Magnoliopsida; Poales; Poaceae. The record is from RNAcentral.
AUGGCGGCGGCGACGGCGACGGUGCAGGCGCAGCCAGGACUCGACGCGCGCGAGUGGGACGAGGCGGCGUACCGGCGGGGCAUCCUGCGGGAGCGCGACCUCUCCUGCCGCACCCUCUUCCGCGCCGUCUUCUACGACCAGCGCGACGAACCCGACCCGGACGUCCUCCUCGCCGCCGCCUCCAGCGACGGCUCCCUCGCGUCCUUCUCGCUGUCCUCCUGCAUCGCCUCCUCCGCCUCCGCCCACGCCGCCCCCCAGCCGGCCGCCGCCGCGCUGGUCGACCCCGUCUGCAUCGUCCAAGCGCAUAGCGGCCCCGUCUACGACGCCAAGUUCUACAACGAUCCGAUUCAGCCGCUGCUCUUCAGCUGCGGGGAUGACGGCCACAUUCGGGGUUGGAGAUGGCACGAGAUGCAGAGCUGCCUUCUGCCACUCUCUCUGCAAGGGGAUCAUGUUGAACCAAUACUUGACUUGGUUAACCCUCAGCAUGAAGGCCCUUGGGGUGCACGGUCUCCAAUACCAGAAAAUAAUGCCAUUGCAAUUAGCAAACAGGAUGGAUCUCUUUUCGCAGCAGCGGGUGAUGCAUGUGCUUAUUGCUGGGAUGUGGAAAGUGGCAAGUGUAAAAUGACCUUUAAGGGGCAUACUGACUAUUUGCAUAGUAUCGCAGUUCGUGAGGCAAACCACCAGGUGGUAACUGGAUCAGAAGAUGGGACAGCCCGCAUCUGGGAUUGCAGAAGUGGGAAGUGUACGCAGACGAUACGUCCAGUACAGAACAAGAAAACUGAGGGCUCGUGGGUCGGUUGCAUUGCCAUUGAUGCGAGUGAAAGUUGGCUGGCUUGUGGUACUUCUAGUGGUAUAUCAGUUUGGAGUCUUCUUUCAAAUGAGUGCAUCUUUAACGCAGAUUGUGGUGCUCCUGUUCAAGAUUUGUUGUUUGACAAAAAUCAAAUUUUAGCGGUCGGCGCUGAACCUGCUCUCUCCCGUUUCACGAUCAACGGGGUUGUUGUUUCGCAAAUAAAGUGCGCUCCUCCAUCGGCAUUUUCUGUCUCCAUGCAUUCGUCCGGGAUGGCAGCUGUUGCUGGGCAUGGGGGUCUGGUGGAUGUCAUCUCUGGAUUUGGGAGCCAUCUCUGCGCGUUUCGCUGCCGUGGCCUGGAUAGGUAA